GUGCUGCAACCUGUUGCCGAAAAAAUAAUCAAGACAGCGAGGAAAAAGCGGCACACAGAAAAUAUUUUUGAAGAAUUUGAUACCCUAAUGAAUGCUUCCACCGAAGAUGCUGCAGGAGAGCUGACGCUCACUGCUGCUCUUUGUGUUCUCCCUACCCUGGUGAAAGAGAGAGUUGAUGCAUUGACCUGCCAUUUUGACCCUGCCAAGGUACAUUAUGUACCUACGGUGACGUUUGUUGGGAGCCUGUUGACGGCGAAAGAAUUCACCGUGCGUCUGGAGGGCAUUUCCAUUGAAGAAAAUACGCUGUUGGAAGCCAUUGCGACCCAAAU
Molecule: long non-coding RNA, 329 nt
Organism: Dermacentor albipictus
Lineage: Eukaryota; Metazoa; Arthropoda; Arachnida; Ixodida; Ixodidae
Source: RefSeq, a predicted model, not a curated record